UAGCGGAGCGUGUGGUUUAAUUCGAGGCUACGCGAAGAACCUUACCUGGGUUUGACAUAUAGGUGGUAGAGAAGUGAAAGCGGAUCGACCUUCGGGAGCCUAUACAGGUGCUGCAUGGCUGUCGUCAGCUCGUGUCGUGAGAUGUUCGGUUAAGUCCGAAAACGAGCGCAACCCCUAGAUUUAGUUACAAGUGUCUAGAUCGACUGCCGGCGAUAAGCCGGAGGAAGGUGGGGAUGACGUCAAGUCAGCAUGGCCUUUAUAUCCAGGGCUACACACACGCUACAAUGGCGCGUACAAUGGGUAGCGAAACCGCGAGGUGGAGCCAAUCCUGAAAGCGCGUCUCAGUUCGGAUUGCAGGCUGCAACUCGCCUGCAUGAAGUCGGAGUUGCUAGUAACCGCGA
RNAcentral lists this ribosomal RNA (401 nucleotides) under uncultured bacterium. RNAcentral's name for it is "bacterial SSU rRNA". It matches the Rfam family "Bacterial small subunit ribosomal RNA", at positions 930 to 1347 of the family's 1533-position model. The record is from RNAcentral.